RNAcentral lists this ribosomal RNA (119 nucleotides) under Mastacembelus armatus (zig-zag eel). The record is from RNAcentral. Lineage: Eukaryota; Metazoa; Chordata; Actinopteri; Synbranchiformes; Mastacembelidae.
GCAUGCAGCCACACUGGAGUGCGAGUGUCCAAUAGCAUCUGAUUUCAGAAGCUAAGCAGGGUCGUGCCUGGUUAGUACUUAGAUGGGAAACCACCUUGGAAGACCAGGGGCUGCUAUCC